AUUGAACGCUGGCGGCAUGCCUUACACAUGCAAGUCGAACGGUAACAGGUCUUCGGAUGCUGACGAGUGGCGAACGGGUGAGUAAUACAUCGGAACGUGCCUAGUAGUGGGGGAUAACUACACGAAAGAGUGGCUAAUACCGCAUGAGAUCUACGGAUGAAAGCAGGGGAUCGCAAGACCUUGUGCUACUAGAGCGGCCGAUGGCAGAUUAGGUAGUUGGUGGGAUAAAAGCUUACCAAGCCGACGAUCUGUAGCUGGUCUGAGAGGACGAUCAGCCACACUGGGACUGAGACACGGCCCAGACUCCUACGGGAGGCAGCAGUGGGGAAUUUUGGACAAUGGGCGCAAGCCUGAUCCAGCAAUGCCGCGUGCAGGAUGAAGGCCUUCGGGUUGUAAACUGCUUUUGUACGGAACGAAAAGCCCCGGGUUAAUAUCCUGGGCUAAUGACGGUACCUGAAGAAUAAGCACCGGCUAACUACGUGCCAGCAGCCGCCGUAA
RNAcentral lists this ribosomal RNA (498 nucleotides) under uncultured bacterium. RNAcentral's name for it is "partial 16S ribosomal RNA". It matches the Rfam family "Bacterial small subunit ribosomal RNA", at positions 30 to 523 of the family's 1533-position model. The record is from RNAcentral.